This is a long non-coding RNA of Oncorhynchus tshawytscha (Chinook salmon), 1491 nucleotides long. The record is from Ensembl. NCBI's taxonomy places the organism in Eukaryota, Metazoa, Chordata, Actinopteri, Salmoniformes, Salmonidae.
CCGCUAACCUCCAUAUGACCCCUAACCUCCAUAUGACCCCUAACCUCCAUAUGACCCCUAACCUCCAUAUGACCCCUAACCUCCAUAUGACCCUGUUAUCAAUGUUAGUAGUGAUGAUUAAUCUAAAGCUGACCAGGUUUCAAGAGAAAAACUUCUGCCAACAAACUCUGGGCUUUGGCUGAGUUCAGUUCUGUUCAGUCCAGUGUGGCUUCAGUACAGCUGCCCUGUGUAGGGGGGAGGGGGACAGAGGUGUCUAGUCCCUAUGGUGGAGGGAGGAUGGAGGGCAGAGGGGACAGAGGUGUGUCUAGUCCCUACGGUGGAGGGAGGAUGGAGGGCAGAGGGGACAGAGGUGUGUCUAGUCCCUACGGUGGAGGGAGGAUGGAGGGCAGAGGGGACAGAGGUGUGUCUAGUCCCUGGAGGGGAGGAUGGAGGGCAGAGGGGACAGAGGUGUGUCUAGUCCCUACAGUGGAGGGAGGGGGAUGGAGGGCAGAGGGAACAGAGGUGUGUCUAGUCCCUACGGUGGAGGGAGGAUGGAGGGCAGAGGGGACAGAGGUGUGUCUAGUCCCUACAGUGGAGGGAGGAUGGAGGGCAGAGGGGACAGAGGUGUGUCUAGUCCCUACGGUGGAGGGAGGAUGGAGGGCAGAGGGGACAGAGGUGUGUCUAGUCCCUACAGUGGAGGGAGGAUGGAGGGCAGAGGGGACAGAGGUGUGUCUAGUCCCUACGGUGGAGGGAGGAUGGAGGGCAGAGGGGACAGAGGUGUGUCUAGUCCCUACAGUGGAGGGAGGAUGGAGGGCAGAGGGGACAGAGGGGUGUCUAGUCCCUACGGUGGAGGGAGGAUGGAGGGCAGAGGGAACAGAGGUGUGUCUAGUCCCUACGGUGGAGGGAGGAUGGAGGGCAGAGGGAACAGAGGUGUGUCUAGUCCCUACAGUGGAGGGAGGAUGGGAUGGAGGGCAGAGAGAACAGAGGUGUGUCUAGUCCCUACAGUGGAGGGAGGAUGGAGGGCAGAGGGAACAGAGGUGUGUCUAGUCCCUACAGUGGAGGGAGGAUGGAGGGCAGAGGGGACAGAGGUGUGUCUAGUCCCUACGGUGGAGGGAGGAUGGAGGGCAGAGGGAACAGAGGAGUGUCUAGUCCCUACAGUGGAAGGAGGAUGGGAUGGAGGGCAGAAGCCGGGAAGUGGUUCCUCCCCGUCAGGCUUUCCCUUCCCAGGCGUCGUCUCUCUGUUUAGCUGCCAGACGCUUCUGCUCUGAAAGACAGACAGACAGGUUGAUAAGAGAGUAAAUCAAUACUACUACUAGCUGUCAAUACAAUCAUAAAGACAAAGACUAGUUCCACUUGAAAGGAGCAACAUGUAAUAUAUCAGCCUUCAUUUCUUCAGGGUUUUGUGAAAGACACUAAGAGAAGUCCUGAAAGGCCCAGUACUGCCUCUGACCGUAUCACUGUCCAGAACACAUCUGUAGAAAGGACAUGAAGAAACGCAUUGCUAAUGUUUUU